RNAcentral lists this ribosomal RNA (571 nucleotides) under uncultured bacterium. RNAcentral describes it as "bacterial SSU rRNA". It matches the Rfam family "Bacterial small subunit ribosomal RNA", at positions 104 to 669 of the family's 1533-position model. The record is from RNAcentral.
GGGUGAGUAAUAUAUCGGAACGUGCCCAGUCGUGGGGGAUAACGCAGCGAAAGCUGUGCUAAUACCGCAUACGAUCUCUGGAUGAAAGCGGGGGACUCGCAAGGGCCUCGCGCGAUUGGAGCGGCCGAUAUCAGAUUAGCUAGUUGGUGGGGUAAAAGCCCACCAAGGCGACGAUCUGUAGCUGGUCUGAGAGGACGACCAGCCACACUGGAACUGAGACACGGUCCAGACUCCUACGGGAGGCAGCAGUGGGGAAUUUUGGACAAUGGGCGCAAGCCUGAUCCAGCAAUGCCGCGUGCAGGAUGAAGGCCUUCGGGUUGUAAACUGCUUUUGUACGGAACGAAAAGGUCUGCCUUAAUACGGUGGGCUCAUGACGGUACCGUAAGAAUAAGCACCGGCUAACUACGUGCCAGCAGCCGCGGUAAUACGUAGGGUGCGAGCGUUAAUCGGAAUUACUGGGCGUAAAGCGUGCGCAGGCGGUUAUAUAAGACAGAUGUGAAAUCCCCGGGCUCAACCUGGGACCUGCAUUUGUGACUGUAUAGCUAGAGUACGGUAGAGGGGGAUGGAAUUC